ACGGAACAUUACACGGUGGCUUGAAGAUAUGACUUUUAUCUUCUCGUGUUAAAAACAAUAUUUUACUCACUCGCUGCGCUCGUUCGUAAAAUAUUGUUUUCACCACUCGAAGAUAAAAGUCAUAUCUUCGCGCCGUCGUGUAAUAUCCUCUAUAUAUUUAGGGGGUUUUGUCAUUACCCAACCGUAACACGUAUUUACACAGCUGAAAAUGGAUCAAAGCGUUUUAAAUUCUAAGCCUAUAAAUGAUCAACCUCGUUCCAGGCUCUGGGAACGAGGUUGAUGAAUGAUACGUCCUGCAAUAUGUACGCAUUGCGUACCUAUUUUUUCAAACGCCACUUCAGAACGUGGAGUACUUUGUGA
Non-coding RNA from Paramuricea clavata, 360 nucleotides. Lineage: Eukaryota; Metazoa; Cnidaria; Anthozoa; Malacalcyonacea; Plexauridae. The record is from the annotation of a GenBank genome assembly.